This 253-nucleotide ribosomal RNA is filed under the name uncultured bacterium. RNAcentral's name for it is "partial 16S ribosomal RNA". It matches the Rfam family "Bacterial small subunit ribosomal RNA", at positions 524 to 776 of the family's 1533-position model. The record is from RNAcentral.
UACAGGGGGUGCAAACGUUGCUCGGAAUUAUUGGGCGUAAAGCGCGCGUAGGCGGCCACUUAAGUCGGAUGUGAAAGCCCCUGGCUCAACUGGGGAAGUGCACCCGAAACUGAAUGGCUUGAAUGCAAAAGAGGGUCGCGGAAUUCCCGGUGUAGAGGUGAAAUUCGUAGAUAUCGGGAGGAACACCGGUGGCGAAGGCGGCGACCUGGGUUGACAUUGACGCUGAGGCGCGAAAGCGUGGGGAGCAAACAGG